This 303-nucleotide ribosomal RNA is filed under the name Alviniconcha kojimai. RNAcentral describes it as "partial 12S ribosomal RNA". Lineage: Eukaryota; Metazoa; Mollusca; Gastropoda; Provannidae. The record is from RNAcentral.
UGGCGGUGCUUUAGACUAUUCAGGGGAACCUGUCUCGUAAUCGAUAGUCCACGAUACACCUAACCUUUUUUAGUUAUCAGUAUGUAUACCGUCGUCGUCAGGUAACUUUUAAAAAUAAAGAAGUUAGCGAUAAAAAUUAUGAUAAUUUUGUACGUCAGAUCAAGGUGCAGCUUAUAAAAAGGUGAGGAUGGGUUACAAUUAAGAUUUAUAAUAACGGAAAAAAGCUUGAUACAGCUUUUAAUGAAGGAGGACUUGAAAGUAAAAUUGUUAUAUACAAAUUUUUUGAAUUUAGCUCUGAAGCGU